This 240-nucleotide unclassified non-coding RNA is filed under the name soil metagenome. RNAcentral's name for it is "partial contains 5.8S ribosomal RNA, internal transcribed spacer 2, and large subunit ribosomal RNA". The record is from RNAcentral.
AACCUAGCACACCUGCGGUGUGUACCUGCGGAAGGAUCAUUACCGAGUUUACAAACUCCCAACCCUAUGUGAACCUUACCAAUCGUUGCUUCGGCGGGCUUAGCCCCCGCGCCCUCGCCGGCGCCGGGAGAAAGGCGCCCGCCGGGGACCCCAAACCCAAUGUUUUUCAUGCAGUAUUUCUGAGUGGCAAACGCAAAAAUAAAUCAAAACUUUUAGCAACGGAUCUCAGAUCGGAAGAGC